AGAAUUCUCUGAGCAGCUGGAAAAAGCUGCUAAUAAACAAAGACAUCAGAAAGUGUGGGCUUUAGGUGUAGCCCCCGCUUUCUGAUGCACUAAUUAGACUUAGUAACCGACACCCCAUACCAGCAUUACAUAGACACUUGGGGGCUGAGCUGGGUGGGUGGUGUUAUAAGCACUUGUUUUGUUAGAUGUAUUUUUUCAGACAGGGCACAGUCUCCUUUGUGGCAAAACCUUCAAACUUCACCAUCCUCAGCUGAAACAACAACAUCUUAACCCCAUCUUCAUGAACUGCUGAGCCAAACCUGAUCCAUCAGUGCUGGACUGCACAGAUAACUACAUGCCACAAGGAGACUGCUGUGUUAUGAACUGCCAUACCAGUGUGUCUUCAAUGGAGAAGAUGACACACCCAUCACCUGACCUCCUGCCUGAUCUGGAGACCAUCAUCAUGCUGCCACACUACACACCUCUGAGACCAUCAAUGAUGACUCAUACUGAGGAAACUGUAUUUCCUGUCAGAGAUGCUCAGUGAUCCUCAGAGCAGAGAGAGGUAUUGCUGUCUUCUGAGUUCUUCAGUGUCCCAACUGACACAUUCAAACCUCAUUGCAGAGCUCAUGUCUUUCCUCACCAUCAUGUGAGUGUGAGAUUGCUCUGGAUUCUGGUUAUGUGGCCUGCAGCACCUAUAAGAACAAGCUCGUCCAGUGUGCCUGCAUUCCAGCUUCACAGAAAAGAAGAUCAGACACCAGCGCGGGGAGGAUAAGAAAGACAGACACAACAACAUUGUCAUCCCCUAUGUAGCCGGUGUAUCAGAAAAACUCAGGAGAGUUUUCUCCAAAUACGACAUCCCAGUGUACUUCAGACCCAGUAACACACUCAGACAGAAACUGGUUCACCCGAAAGACAAAACUCCAAAACACAAACUUAACAGUGUGGUGUACGCUGCACAGUGCAGCGAGGAAUGCCCAGACCUCUACAUCGGAGAGACCAAACAGCCACUUCACAAGCGCAUGGCACAACAUAGAAGAGCCACCUCCACGGGACAAGACUCAGCAGUUCAUCUGCAUCUAAAGGUCAAAGGUCACUCUUUCGAGGAUGCCAAUGUUCACAUUUUGGACAGAGAGGACAGAUGGUUUGAAAGAGGAGUGAAAGAAGCCAUUUACGUCCACUGUGAGCGACCAUCUUUGAACAGAGGCGGUGGUUUACGACACCAACUGUCUGCCAUUUAUAAUCCAGUUUUGAGUUCCCUCCCCAGACACCUUAACGCCCACUCACAUCCUGGGAGUGGGCGUGGGUGAUUUCCUGACCUCAGGAAAUCACAUGAUAGGGUGGGGCCAGGUUUCACAAUGAGCUCACCCGAAACCCUGGCUGAUUGGGACCCACACCCACUUUCACACCUUGGCUCAUGUGAUUAGGUAGAGGAUAAUCAGGGGGUUCUUUGUCCCUCUUUGGGGGGAAACUCCCACUGGGUUUAAAUCUGGCACUCUCCACCAUUGACCCUUAGAACUGAAGAAGCUUCUCGGAUGAGAGGUGAAACGUCUUCAAGGAACUCAAAGAAGUCCAGACGCUUUUCUUUCCAAGCUCCUUAGACUUCACUUGUGUUAAUUACAUUUUAUUUGUUGUUGUUUUCUUUUAGAUUUAUAUGCAGUGAUUGGAUGUGGUGGAGCUUUGUUAACCGUGUGGAAAACAUCUGUUUGUGAUGAUAUUUACAAUGAGGCUUUAAGGUGACAGUUUCCAUGUAAUUUCAAUCCUUUUACUAUGCAAAAACAUGUUUGCAAUUAACAUAUUUGUUCAGUUUUGUCUUUUGGAUUUAUGGUUAACAUUCCUCUGUGACAGCAAAUACUAAACUGGUCCAAGUAACCAGCAUAUCAUUGGUCAAAGGCAAAAAGGACCACAUGUCACACUAGCAAUGAAUUUUUGACUGUGUUUGUGUUAGUAUAGAGUAGGUCUAACAGUGGUUUUCCACAUCUGCUCUAAUAUAUACAGAUAAUGGGUCAGACAUAUAAAGUCAUUUUGAAAAGUUCAUAAAGGUCAUUUAUAUGUGUUCCUCUUUAUCAUUUUAUAUCAGGUCACACAGCUGACUUGAGUUUUGAUCAGAGUAGAACCAUAACAUUCAUGCUAAUGGUUCUACUGUUUACAGUUACUUUAUGAUGGAUUUCACCCUGGUCACAGCACUAUGUGAAAAGCUGUUAGAGGUAAAGUUAACCCAAUUAAUACCUCAUCAUAAGUCACUCUCUAACGCAAAGCAGUGAUUAUUUUUCACUGUAAUUUAUUCCACAACAAUGUUCUUUAUUUGAUCCUUGUUUCUUUAAAUAUGCACAUCGAUUGUUCAGCUGUGUGACUCUCCACACCUCAAAUAUAUCACAAUGUGGACUUCAUUUCGACAGUAUUUUGUAGAUUGGUACCAUAUUUAUCAUCAAAUCAUCUUGUGCAUUUAUUACCUAAAUGUUGUUUGUGUUUUUUGUUUUGUUUGUUUGUUUGGGGGUUUUUUGUUGCCAUUUUUACAUUUCACCAACUGUGUAAAUUCUGUAAUUUUACCUUGGUUUUGUUUCACAUCAGUUUAUCUGCUGGCUAGUAUUCCUGUCUUCCUUCUCUCACCCCAACCGGUCGCAGCAGAUGGCCGCCCCUCCCUGAGCCUGGUUCUGCUGGAGGUUUCUUCCUGUUAAAAGGGAGUUUUUCCUUCCCACUGUCGCCAAAGUGCUUGCUCAUAGGGGGUCAUAUGAUUGUUGGGUUUUUCUCUGUGAAGAGGCGCUUCAUUUUUCACAGUUAAACAAGUAACUUUGAGGUUACUUCAUCGUUUUCAGCUGUUAUCUGUUUACAGUUUUUUCCUAAUAAUUACAUUUCUGCAAAAUUAUAGCAGUUCUGGUAAGUUGAAAUAUUUUUGCCAAGUUAUUAAUUUUCUACUAAAUUAUAUCAUUUCUGCUAAGUUAUGUUAUUCUAAAUUAUUACAUUUCUGCUAAGUUGUAGCUUCUGGUAAAUUACAACAUUUCUGCUGAAUUGUUAUGUUUCUUCUAAGUUAUUGCAUUUCUGCUAAGUUACUACAUUUUUGUUAACUUGAUGUUGUUCUGC
This is a long non-coding RNA of Oreochromis aureus, 3060 nucleotides long. The record is from Ensembl. Lineage: Eukaryota; Metazoa; Chordata; Actinopteri; Cichliformes; Cichlidae.